Molecule: ribosomal RNA, 467 nt
Filed under: uncultured bacterium
Lineage: Bacteria
Description: partial 16S ribosomal RNA
Rfam family: Bacterial small subunit ribosomal RNA
Source: RNAcentral
GAUGAACGCUGGCGGCGUGCUUAACACAUGCAAGUCGAACGAUGAAGCCCAGCUUGCUGGGUGGAUUAGUGGCGAACGGGUGAGUAACACGUGAGCAACCUGCCCCUGACUCUGGGAUAAGCGCUGGAAACGGCGUCUAAUACUGGAUAUGUCCUGUCACCGCAUGGUGUGCGGGUGGAAAGAUUUUUCGGUUGGGGAUGGGCUCGCGGCCUAUCAGCUUGUUGGUGAGGUAAUGGCUCACCAAGGCGUCGACGGGUAGCCGGCCUGAGAGGGUGACCGGCCACACUGGGACUGAGACACGGCCCAGACUCCUACGGGAGGCAGCAGUGGGGAAUAUUGCACAAUGGGCGGAAGCCUGAUGCAGCAACGCCGCGUGAGGGAUGACGGCCUUCGGGUUGUAAACCUCUUUUAGCGGGGAAGAAGCGAAAGUGACGGUACCUGCAGAAAAAGCACCGGCUAACUACGUG